ACAGCAGUAGCCACGGUAAUACAGAGGGUGCGAGCGUUAAUCGGAUUUACUGGGCGUAAAGCGUGCGUAGGCGGCUUUUUAAGUCGGAUGUGAAAUCCCUGAGCUUAACUUAGGAAUUGCAUUCGAUACUGGGAAGCUAGAGUAUGGGAGAGGAUGGUAGAAUUCCAGGUGUAGCGGUGAAAUGCGUAGAGAUCUGGAGGAAUACCGAUGGCGAAGGCAGCCAUCUGGCCUAAUACUGACGCUGAGGUACGAAAGCAUGGGGAGCAAACAGGAUUAGAUACCCCUGUAGUCCCUGUCUCUUAUAA
This 305-nucleotide ribosomal RNA is filed under the name uncultured bacterium. RNAcentral describes it as "partial 16S ribosomal RNA". It matches the Rfam family "Bacterial small subunit ribosomal RNA", at positions 505 to 809 of the family's 1533-position model. The record is from RNAcentral.